Molecule: ribosomal RNA, 709 nt
Filed under: uncultured bacterium
Lineage: Bacteria
Description: bacterial SSU rRNA
Rfam family: Bacterial small subunit ribosomal RNA
Source: RNAcentral
AGGGGAGCUUGCUCCCCAAGCUAGUGGCGGACGGGUGAGUAACACGUGAGCACCUGCCUUUCAGAGGGGGAUAACGUUUGGAAACGAACGCUAAUACCGCAUAACACCGCAUGAUCAAAGGAGCAACGCUGAAAGAUGGGCUCGCGUCCGAUUAGCUAGUUGGCGGGGUAACGGCCCACCAAGGCGACGAUCGGUAGCCGGACUGAGAGGUUGAUCGGCCACAUUGGGACUGAGACACGGCCCAGACUCCUACGGGAGGCAGCAGUGGGGGAUAUUGCACAAUGGAGGAAACUCUGAUGCAGCGACGCCGCGUGAGGGAAGACGGUCUUCGGAUUGUAAACCUCUGUCUUUGGGGACGAUAAUGACGGUACCCAAGGAGGAAGCUCCGGCUAACUACGUGCCAGCAGCCGCGGUAAUACGUAGGGAGCGAGCGUUGUCCGGAAUUACUGGGUGUAAAGGGAGCGUAGGCGGGGUCUCAAGUCGAAUGUUAAAUCUACCGGCUCAACUGGAGCUGCGUUCGAAACUGGGGCUCUUGAGUGAAGUAGAGGCAGGCGGAAUUCCUAGUGUAGCGGUGAAAUGCGUAGAUAUUAGGAGGAACACCAGUGGCGAAGGCGGCCUGCCGGGCUUUUACUGACGCUGAGGCUCGAAAGCGUGAGGAGCAAACAGGAUUAGAUACCCUGGUAGUCCACGCCGUANACGAUGAUUACUA